UUUUUUAGAGAGUUUGAUCCUGGCUCAGGAUAAACGCUGGCGGCGUGCCUAACACAUGCAAGU
RNAcentral lists this ribosomal RNA (63 nucleotides) under Clostridiales bacterium. RNAcentral describes it as "partial 16S ribosomal RNA". It matches the Rfam family "Bacterial small subunit ribosomal RNA", at positions 1 to 62 of the family's 1533-position model. The record is from RNAcentral. Lineage: Bacteria; Bacillati; Bacillota; Clostridia; Eubacteriales.